ACUGGCCGCGUGCCUAUACAUGCAAGUCGAGCGGACUUGAAAAGCUUGCUUUUUAAGUUACCGGCGGACGGGUGAGUAACACGUGGGCAACCUGCCUGUAAUACUGGGAUAACUUCGGGAAACCGGAGCUAAUACCGGAUAAUCCUUUUCUACUCGUGUGGAAAAGCUGAAAGACGGUUUACGCUGUCACUUACAGAUGGGCCCGCGGCGCAUUAGCUAGUUGGUGAGGUAACGGCUCACCAAGGCGACGAUGCGUAGCCGACCUGAGAGGGUGAUCGGCCACACUGGGACUGAGACACGGCCCAGACUCCUACGGGAGGCAGCAGUAGGGAAUCUUCCGCAAUGGACGAAAGUCUGACGGAGCAACGCCGCGUGAGUGAUGAAGGUUUUCGGAUCGUAAAACUCUGUUGUUAGGGAAGAACAAGUACGAGAGUAACUGCUCGUACCUUGACGGUACCUAACCAGAAAGCCACGGCUAACUACGUGCCAGCAGCCGCGGUAAUACGUAGGUGGCAAGCGUUGUCCGGAAUUAUUGGGCGUAAAGCGCGCGCAGGCGGUCCUUUAAGUCUGAUGUGAAAGCCCACGGCUCAACCGUGGAGGGUCAUUGGAAACUGGGGGACUUGAGUGCAGAAGAGAAGAGUGGAAUUCCACGUGUAGCGGUGAAAUGCGUAGAGAUGUGGAGGAACACCAGUGGCGAAGGCGACUCUUUGGUCUGUAACUGACGCUGAAGCGCGAAAGCGUGGGGAGCAACAGGAUUAGAUACCCUGGUAGUCCACGCCGUAACGAUGAAUGCUAAGUGUUAAAGGGUUUCCGCCCUUUCAUGCUGCAGCAAAUGGCAUUAAGCACUCUCCUGGGGAAUAUGAGCGGAAGGUCUGAAACUCAAAGG
RNAcentral lists this ribosomal RNA (886 nucleotides) under Bacillus sp. (in: firmicutes). RNAcentral's name for it is "bacterial SSU rRNA". It matches the Rfam family "Bacterial small subunit ribosomal RNA", at positions 35 to 907 of the family's 1533-position model. The record is from RNAcentral. Lineage: Bacteria; Bacillati; Bacillota; Bacilli; Caryophanales; Bacillaceae.